RNA transcript from Musa acuminata AAA Group (dessert banana), 1379 nucleotides. It is a transcript of the gene named aspartate aminotransferase P2, mitochondrial-like, with no coding region annotated. The record is from RefSeq and is a predicted model, not a curated record. NCBI's taxonomy places the organism in Eukaryota, Viridiplantae, Streptophyta, Magnoliopsida, Zingiberales, Musaceae. The transcript has 8 exons.
CGGAUUCGGAUGGAUGUUACCCGAUCCGCUUUCACCCCCUUCUUCCUACCUGUUCGCUCCUGCAACACUCCUGUAUGAGUGUCGAGAGAGAUCGAUCGACGGUGAUCUCGUCACAUCGCGUCUUCCCUCUUCGCCCGCCGUCUUCGGUUCGAUUAGUCGUGCUAUCCUCGUCCUCGGCCACGGCGGCGUUCAUUCGAGAUAACUCCAAGGCUCGGGUUCUUCAUUAUUGGCCUCGUCGUCCGAUUCCAGAUCAGAGUUUUCUUUUUGUAGACUAAGAAGUCUUACAUGGUUAAUUUGUUGUUCUUACUCGAGUAGAGGAUUGGAUUCGAAAAGAAACAUGACGAUCUUAUUUUCAAGGGGAAGGCGGAAAAGCAAGCUUAUGCUGGAAAGAGGAGAAAACAAAGAGUAUCUUCCUGUUGAAGGUUUAGCUGCAUUUAAUAAGGUCACUGCAGACCUAUUGUUUGGAGUAGAUAAUCGUGUAAUCCAGGAAGGAAGGGCAGCACCAAAUGGAUCUUUCAUCCUAUUACAUGGAUGUGCACACAAUCCGACAGGAAUCGAUCCAACUCCUCAGCAAAGGGAAAAGAUUUGCUGAUGCUACUCAAGAGAAGAAGAACAUCCCAUACUUUGACAUUGCCUACCAGGGUUUUGCUAGUGGAAGCCUCGAUGCAGAUGCAUAUUCUAUUAGCCUGUUUGUGGAUCGUGGUUUGGAGCUUCUGGUUGCUCAGUCUUACAGUAAAAAAUUAGGUUUGUAUGCAGAAAGAAUUGGAGCUAUAAAUGUUGUUUGCUUAUCUUCAGAUGCAGCAGCAAGGGUAAAAAUCCAGCUGAAAAGAUUAGCCCGGCCAAUGUAUUCAAAUCCUCCUGUUCAUGGUGCUCGGAUUGUUGCCAACAUUGUCCGAGAUCCAAAUCUUUUCGAUGAACGGAAACAAGAGAUGGAACUAAUGGCUGGACGAAUAAAGAAUGUUAGGCGGAGACUCCAUGAGAAUCUCUCUCAAAAAGAUGAGCGCAGGAGUGAUUGGUCUUGUAUCCUCAAGCAGAUUGGCAUGCCCUCAUAUACUGGUUUGAACAAAGCACAGUGCGAGUGGCUGCAGAUUUGGGUGAUGAGAGUUCCCCUAGAUGCAAGGGACAUGAACCCAAAGUGCAGCAAACAAGAUGGUUACAGUCUAACUUCCAUCACCGGCCAUUACACAGAGAAGCAUUGGGUGGCUCGGUGCCCUGAAGACAUCCCCGACUACAAACUUCCAUCCCGAGAGCUCUUCGUUCAUCUGAGCCUGUGCCUCCUUGUCGAGCUCCUCAUACCGAGUCAGAUCCCUUCGAACGGUCCUCAACAGGAUCACGAGACCGAUACCGGCAAGGAAAAGCGAUCACCAUUAGCGAAUUGA